UACGUAGGGAGCAAGCGUUGUUCGGAUUUACUGGGCGUAAAGGGCGCGUAGGCGACCUGUCAAGUCAACUGUGAAAUCUCCGGGCUUAACUCGGAACGGUCAGUCGAUACUGUCAGGCUAGAGUGCAGAAGGGGCAAUCGGAAUUCUUGGUGUAGCGGUGAAAUGCGUAGAUAUCAAGAGGAACACCUGAGGUGAAGACGGGUUGCUGGGCUGACACUGACGCUGAGGCGCGAAAGCCAGGGGAGCAAACGGG
Molecule: ribosomal RNA, 253 nt
Filed under: uncultured bacterium
Lineage: Bacteria
Description: partial 16S ribosomal RNA
Rfam family: Bacterial small subunit ribosomal RNA
Source: RNAcentral